RNAcentral lists this ribosomal RNA (223 nucleotides) under uncultured bacterium. Its description in RNAcentral is "partial 16S ribosomal RNA". It matches the Rfam family "Bacterial small subunit ribosomal RNA", at positions 15 to 228 of the family's 1533-position model. The record is from RNAcentral.
GAUCCUGGCUCAGGAUGAACGCAGGCGGCGUGCCUAAUACAUGCAAGUAGAACGCUGAAGCUUGGUGCUUGCACCGAGCGGAUGAGUUGCGAACGGGUGAGUAACGCGUAGGUAACCUGCCUCUUAGCGGGGGAUAACUAUUGGAAACGAUAGCUAAUACCGCAUAAAAGUCGACAUCGCAUGAUGUUGACUUGAAAGGUGCAAUUGCAUCACUAAGAGAUGG